GACCUGGUUCAUCAGCAAUCGGAGAUCGAUUACGUGAUCGGGGAGGGCCGUCCGGGGAACUCUUGCCUGGAUCGUUCCGGACCUCCUGCUGCACCACCCGCAAUUAUCCGUAUUUCCGGGCUCGCAAGGCGAAGGUAAGGACAUGGUGUUUGCUGCAACGUUUCAUGGGGCAUAGUCUAUAAACCCUUCCUUCACCGUCGCCUCGCCGGUAUCAAGUCUAGGAGGAGAAGAUGCUGAAGGGGGGGACUUUGGAUGUGAGAUUGCUCCUCAUUGUAGAGACGAAGGGGAGAUGCCACUGCAGGCUCUGCUGUUCUUAGCAUCUUUGACUUUUUGUGGAAACUUUUCGCUAUGAUUAGAGUUGGUUCUCAAAUUACUCAUGGGGGAAUAGAGCAUUCACCGGAAGUGGAAGGAACUUGGUAUUGACACGAAGUACUUAUCCCCACACAUGCAAUCUUCUCAUUUCUGAGCAUACUGUGAUGCACAUCAAUAUCUAUGGGGGAAACAGAUUUAUUGUGCCUCCACCCUUCCAUUCCAGCAUUUUACUCACCAUCCAGGAUUAAGGAAUGGUUUAGUCGGUUUGAGUACCGACACAAAUGAAGGCGUUUCGUGUCCCAGAUAGCACUCAAUGAAAUCUUUUCCCAUUGUUCAUUUUGAUUACUAUUCAAAUUCUGCUUCGUGGAAUCAAAGAUGCAUAGACUAAAGUCACUGGUUGGCAAAGUUUAAAG
Eucalyptus grandis is the source of this 725-nucleotide long non-coding RNA. RefSeq lists it as uncharacterized. Lineage: Eukaryota; Viridiplantae; Streptophyta; Magnoliopsida; Myrtales; Myrtaceae. The record is from RefSeq and is a predicted model, not a curated record. The transcript is spliced from 3 exons.